Molecule: transfer RNA, 71 nt
Filed under: Salmo salar (Atlantic salmon)
Lineage: Eukaryota; Metazoa; Chordata; Actinopteri; Salmoniformes; Salmonidae
Rfam family: tRNA
About the family: Transfer RNA (tRNA) molecules are approximately 80 nucleotides in length. Their secondary structure includes four short double-helical elements and three loops (D, anti-codon, and T loops). Further hydrogen bonds mediate the characteristic L-shaped molecular structure. tRNAs have two regions of fundamental functional importance: the anti-codon, which is responsible for specific mRNA codon recognition, and the 3' end, to which the tRNAs corresponding amino acid is attached (by aminoacyl-tRNA synthetases). tRNAs cope with the degeneracy of the genetic code in two manners: having more than one tRNA (with a specific anti-codon) for a particular amino acid; and 'wobble' base-pairing, i.e. permitting non-standard base-pairing at the 3rd anti-codon position.
Source: Rfam by way of RNAcentral
GUUUGUAGUGUAGUGGUUAUCACGUUCGCUUUACACGCGAAAGGUCCUCAGUUCGAAACCGGGCGGAAACA